This 395-nucleotide unclassified non-coding RNA is filed under the name soil metagenome. Its description in RNAcentral is "partial contains 5.8S ribosomal RNA, internal transcribed spacer 2, and large subunit ribosomal RNA". The stretch from base 1 to 122 matches the Rfam family "5.8S ribosomal RNA", at positions 35 to 154 of the family's 154-position model. The record is from RNAcentral.
GAUGAAGAACGUAGCGAAAUGCGAUACUUGGUGUGAAUUGCAGAAUCCCGUGAACCAUCGAGUCUUUGAACGCAAGUUGCGCCCGAAGCCAUCAGGUUGAGGGCACGUCUGCCUGGGCGUCACAUAUCGUUGCCCAAUGCCUAUUGCAGUGCAAUAGGAAUUUCUAGGGCGAAUGAUGGCUUCCCGUGAGCGUUAUUGCCUCGCGGUUGGUUGAAAAUCGAGUCCUUGGUAGGGUGUGCCAUGGUAGAUGGUGGUCGAAUUAGAACGAUACCGAUCAUGUGCAUGCUCCCCAAAAUAUGGCCUCUAUGACCCACACGCGUCUUUUGACGCUCAUGACGAGACCUCAGGUCAGGCGGGGCUACCCGCUGAAUUUAAGCAUAUCAAUAAGCGGAGGA